GAUAUUGUAUGUAACUGGUGACAUUUGAAAGAGACAUAUUGGACAGAAAUGGCAUACGUGAAAGCUAAGAUACAAUAUAUUUAAUUUUUUAAGAAUUCAGUUCAAGAGUGAUCAGUCUUAACAACCUUGGGUGUAUGUGUUAGCGUUUUUAAAGAUAAGGAAGCUGAGAUGUAGAGCUGAAGUGUCUUGCCCAAGAUCAUUUGUCUAAUACUUAGAUUGGAAGUAGUCUUAAACCUUUGGAGUUCAAGACUUUUUAAAAACGGCUAAAUAAAUAAUCUCUACAUGUAAAAGGCCACUGAUGCCUACUUCUCUUUAGAGCAACUAUUGAACUCAGCUGCCGAGGGGCUUCAAGACAGCUGACCAGAGACAUCUCCUACUCACCUCCUCCACAAAGGAGAACCUAAAUAGUGAGUAGAUAAUCACACUUCGAAUAGAUCAUCCAGGAGAGAACACUGGAAUUCAAUGGAGAAGUGACAGGAAACACCUAAAGCAAGGAAGAAUAAGAAAGAGAGGCAACCUGCUUGACCAGGAUCAGCUGGGAGCCAGGAGAGACUCCCCAGUGCAGGGAAAGGCCAGGAGGAAAAAGAAGUGAGUCUUUAUCAUUUGGUCUUGUGCAUCACUCUGUGGGUUAGCAUAACUACGUGAAUAGAUGCUGGAAACCAAAUACAUUCCAGCUUAGCACAGAAUAAAAUCUGGACUGCGUCAGUUUGUAAAGAUCUUAUGUCUACUUGGUCAUCAGGAUCCUGAUAUACUCAUACCAUACAAGCUUAUCUUAAGACAUUUGAGAUUUGUAACAAGUACGCUGGGGAAUAGUCAACUGGUUAUGAAGCACAUCAUCUUGAUACAUUCACCAUUUUCAAUAAUGAAAAAAGAGCAAGAGAGUACAUAAGGUGCUUGCUUCUCCUUUGCCUUCCACCAUGACUGUAAAUUUCCUGAGGCCUCCCCAGCCAUGCAGAACUCCAAGAAGGGAUUCCGAAGAUAGAAGAGGAGGCAUCAACACCGUGAACAUCAUGGCUGAGUUAUUUUGUGAGAAGGAUAAGCCUAAAGUAAAAACCUUGGAUUUGUCUCUGUCCUUGAACAUGCUAUCUGGAAAGAGUUUUCUUAAAAGUAUUGUCGUGAACACAUCCAUUUUCCCAGUAUAGUUGAAUGCAGGGUUUAAUAAAUAGAAUGAAUCUAGUUUUAGUUCCUGUACUGCUUGUGCUUUCAAUAACGUCUAUAUUUGAAUAACACAUUUCAGUAGGUAUGUUUGUUAGCAUUGACCUUGUAAGUUGAUGAAGAAAGGGUAGUACUACCAACCCUGAGCAGAUAAAGAGAAUUCUAUGUGUUUUACAAACAUAUAUUUAUCAUUUUGAAUUUAUAUAUAGUCAAGGAUGCAACUCUUCCCUGAAUUUAUAUAAGCUCUUAUUGGUUUCUACAGGUAUUCCUCCCUGUAAAUAUUUUAUUAGCCGAGUCAGAGCAUUCACAUACAUUCCCAGUAAGAAUGGAUUUUAAAGUCAGAAGUUCAGAACCGUUAGCAAGUCUUCCUGCAAUACUGCAAAGUAAUGGAAAACCUUAGACUCAGCCAGUUUGGUCUUGUUUAGUGAGGGGAUGCACUGAGUAACUCCAUCUUCAGGUACCAGAUAAAUAACAGUAAGAUGUAUUCCUGAGGGUCGCCAUCGCAGUUGCACCCCGCCCCAUCAGGAGAAUCAGUCAUGACCACAGCCCCUUGACACUCACGAUCUUGGCUACAUCGAGGCUCCAGCAGCAAACAGUUUAAAAGCUGCUCAUCCACCAUGAUGAGUUUUGAGGUGCUUGGAACUUCUCAGAAAAGAGAUAUAUUAUGGGCAUUGAUCGUUGCAUCAGUGAAGAGGAGCACGUGGCUGCAGAGGUCUUGCCUGAACCCUGGCUGCACCCCCAGUACAAGCCCAUCCCUCAGACCUGUUGAGUGGAGCUAUUAUUCUUCCAUAAUGUGCGCAGUACAGGUGGAAAGUUGGGAGACAGAAAAGGGGAGAAAAGAAGAAAAGGGAGGGGAAAAGGUAAAAGAAAAGAAGAGAAUGAAUUGCAGCUGAGGAAGUGGAAGAGCGAGAAGUGCUUCCAGAUUCCAGGUUUCUCAAACCCGACUUGGGAUAGGUGAUACCAGGAAACAUGAGGAAGGCAAUGAGAAGAGGGAGGCCGUAGAGAAGACAAGCCAGGGAAGGAGACUGGAGCAAGAUUCUGAUCUGAGGGAAGAGGCACCGCAUGUCCACACCCUCAGAACACUGGCUGGUCUUCAUUCUGUGGUAUAACUAGAAGCGGGGAAUUGAGUGGGGAGCUGGAAAUUAUGCAUCUUGGAGGAAGGGCCAAGUCAAAUUAGAUGGCCAUGAACUCACUGCUCAUGUAGAUUCUGGGGACAUAGUGUGGCAUAGUGGUUGAGAUGCAGGCUGCAGAGUUAGCCAGACAUGGUUCAGACCCAGGUAGGUUUGAGAUCUGCUUCUGCCAGCGCACCUAUUGGGGAGCUUUGGGCUGUAAUCAAAUAGAAAACCUAACCCAGACAAGCUUAAACAAUAAGAAAUUUAUUGACAUAGCUGGAAAUUCAAGUAUGGGUAACUUUCAGGGUCAGCUUGAUCCAGUGGCUCUUUUUCUUUUUUCUUCUUCUUAUUAUUUUUUGCCAUA
Pongo pygmaeus (Bornean orangutan) is the source of this 2631-nucleotide long non-coding RNA. RefSeq lists it as uncharacterized. The transcript is spliced from 12 exons. The record is from RefSeq and is a predicted model, not a curated record. Lineage: Eukaryota; Metazoa; Chordata; Mammalia; Primates; Hominidae.